RNAcentral lists this ribosomal RNA (802 nucleotides) under uncultured bacterium. RNAcentral's name for it is "bacterial SSU rRNA". It matches the Rfam family "Bacterial small subunit ribosomal RNA", at positions 62 to 848 of the family's 1533-position model. The record is from RNAcentral.
UCGAGGGGCAUCGGGGCGAGGAGCAAUCCUUGCCGCCGGCGACCGGCGCACGGGUGAGUAACGCGUAUGCGACCUGCCCGUUGCAGGGGGAUAAUCGGGAGAAAUCCCGUCUAAUACCGCGUAACGCCGCGGGGCUGCAUGGCCCUGCGGCCAAAGGGAGCGAUUCCGGCAACGGAUGGGCAUGCGUGACAUUAGCUAGUUGGCGGGGCAACGGCCCACCAAGGCGACGAUGUCUAGGGGUUCUGAGAGGAAGGUCCCCCACACUGGUACUGAGACACGGACCAGACUCCUACGGGAGGCAGCAGUGAGGAAUAUUGGUCAAUGGGCGCGAGCCUGAACCAGCCAAGUCGCGUGAGGGAUGACGGCCCUACGGGUUGUAAACCUCUUUUGUCGGGGAGCAAAUUCCGUUACGUGUAACGGAGUCGAGAGUACCCGAAGAAAAAGCAUCGGCUAACUCCGUGCCAGCAGCCGCGGUAAUACGGAGGAUGCGAGCGUUAUCCGGAUUUAUUGGGUUUAAAGGGUGCGUAGGCGGACUGUCAAGUCAGCGGUAAAAUACGGGGGCUCAACCUCCGCCCGCCGUUGAAACUGACGGUCUUGAGUGGGCGAGAAGUAUGCGGAAUGCGUGGUGUAGCGGUGAAAUGCAUAGAUAUCACGCAGAACUCCGAUUGCGAAGGCAGCAUACCGGCGCCCAACUGACGCUGAAGCACGAAAGCGUGGGUAUCGAACAGGAUUAGAUACCCUGGUAGUCCACGCAGUAAACGAUGAAUACUAGCUGUCCGGGGCGAAUGAGCCCUGGGUGGCA